RNAcentral lists this ribosomal RNA (484 nucleotides) under uncultured bacterium. RNAcentral describes it as "partial 16S ribosomal RNA". It matches the Rfam family "Bacterial small subunit ribosomal RNA", at positions 30 to 507 of the family's 1533-position model. The record is from RNAcentral.
AUUGAACGCUGGCGGCAGGCCUAACACAUGCAAGUCGAGCGGAUGAAGGGAGCUUGCUCCUGGAUUCAGCGGCGGACGGGGGAGUAAUGCAUAGGAAUCUGCCGGGCAGUGGGGGAUAACGUCCGGAAACGGGCGCUAAUACCGCAUACGUCCUGAGGGAGAAAGAGGGGGAUCUUCGGACCUCACGCUAUCAGAUGAGCCUAGGUCGGAUUAGCUAGUUGGUGGGGUAAAGGCCUACCAAGGCGACGAUCCGUAACUGGUCUGAGAGGAUGAGCAGUCACACUGGAACUGAGACACGGUCCAGACUCCUACGGGAGGCAGCAGUGGGGAAUAUUGGACAAUGGGCGAAAGCCUGAUCCAGCCAUGCCGCGUGUGUGAAGAAGGUCUUCGGAUUGUAAAGCACUUUAAGUUGGGAGGAAGGGCAGUAAGUUAAUACCUUGCUGUUUUGACGUUACCAACAGAAUAAGCACCGGCUAACUUCGUG